CCUACGGGAGGCAGCAGUGGGGGAUAUUGCACAAUGGGGGAAACCCUGAUGCAGCGACGCCGCGUGUGGGAAGACGGUCCUCUGGAUUGUAAACCACUGUCCCCAGGGACAAAGAUGACGGUACCUGGGGAGGAAGCUCCGGCUAACUACGUGCCAGCAGCCGCGGUAAAACGUAGGGAGCGAGCGUUGUCCGGAAUUACUGGGUGUAAAGGGAGCGUAGGCGGGACUGCAAGUUGGGUGUAAAAUCUACGGGCUCAACCGGUAGCCGCACUCAAAACUGCAGUUCUUGAGUGAAGUAGAGGCAGGCGGAAUUCCUAGUGUAGCGGUGAAAUGCGUAGAUAUUAGGAGGAACACCAGUGGCGAAGGCGGCCUGCUGGGCUUUUACUGACGCUGAGGCUCGAAAGUGUGGGGAGCAAACAGGAUUGGAUACCCUGGUAGUC
Molecule: ribosomal RNA, 440 nt
Filed under: uncultured bacterium
Lineage: Bacteria
Description: partial 16S ribosomal RNA
Rfam family: Bacterial small subunit ribosomal RNA
Source: RNAcentral